UCAUGUGCUUACAAUGAGUGGGAGUCCCGAUUUAGUCGGGAUGACCGCGUGUCUUUUUGUAGAACGAUCCAGCGAGUUAAUGUAUACGGCGUUAGGUUAAGUCUUUUCAAGAUGGAGCCGUAGUGAAAGCGAGGGUUAAUAGCCCGAAUUAGUCGUAUGUAUUAGACCCGAAACCGGGUGACCUAACCAUGGGGCAGGCUGAAGCUUCGGUAAAACGGAGUGGAGGGCCGAACCACCGCACGUUGUAAAGUGCUUGGAUGACCUGUGGUUAGCGGAGAAAUUCCAAUCGAACCCGGAGAUAGCUGGUUCUCCUCGAAAUAGCUUUAGGGCUAGCGUCAUAAACUACUGCUCGGAGGUAGAGCACUGAAUGGGUUAGGGCCGUUUACGGUACCACGCCCAACCAAACUCCGAAUGCCGAGCAAGACUAUUAUGGCAGUCAGAAAGUGGGAGCUAAGUUCCAUUUUCGAAAGGGAAACAGCCCAGACCGCCGUCUAAGGUCCCAAAGUCAUAGCUAAGUGGGAAACGAGGUGAGAUUGCAUAAACAACCAGGAU
This 552-nucleotide ribosomal RNA is filed under the name uncultured bacterium. RNAcentral describes it as "bacterial LSU rRNA". It matches the Rfam family "Bacterial large subunit ribosomal RNA", at positions 556 to 1099 of the family's 2925-position model. The record is from RNAcentral.